Pyrgilauda ruficollis (rufous-necked snowfinch) is the source of this 250-nucleotide long non-coding RNA. RefSeq lists it as uncharacterized. NCBI's taxonomy places the organism in Eukaryota, Metazoa, Chordata, Aves, Passeriformes, Passeridae. The record is from RefSeq and is a predicted model, not a curated record. The transcript has 3 exons.
CCCCAUGGUGUCUCCUCAGUUCCAGCCCCAGCUCGUCCUGGUCGAGGCUUCGCUGGAGGAUUUGGGGGGUGCCCUGGGGGUGUCCCCGGCCGGGUUCUCUCUCCUCACCCACCUGCUGUCAGCCCUGGCCAGGGGGCGGCUGCUGCUGCUGCUGCAGCGGCCUGGCCAGCAUUGCCCGCACGCUGAGCGUCCAGCAGCGCUUCUGGGGCUGCCUGCAGAGCUUCGGUGAGGGCACCCCGAAAUCCCAGGG